This 414-nucleotide ribosomal RNA is filed under the name uncultured bacterium. RNAcentral's name for it is "bacterial SSU rRNA". It matches the Rfam family "Bacterial small subunit ribosomal RNA", at positions 28 to 433 of the family's 1533-position model. The record is from RNAcentral.
GACGAACGCUGGCGGCGUGCUUGACACAUGCAAGUCGAGCGGGAUCCAACCGGUGGCAACACCGGGGAAGAUCUAGCGGCGAACGGGUGAGUAACACGUGAGCAACCUGCCCCGAAGGCUGGGAUAACACCGGGAAACCGGUGCUAAUACCGGAUGUCGUCAUUAGGCCGCAUGACCUGAUGAUGAAAGGAUUCAUCGCUUCGGGAGGGGCUCGCGGGCUAUCAGCUUAUUGGUGGGGUAACGGCCUACCAAGGCGACGACGGCUAGCUGGUCUGAGAGGACGACCAGCCACACUGGGACUGAGACACGGCCCAGACUCCUACGGGAGGCAGCAGUGGGGAAUCUUGCGCAAUGGGCGAAAGCCUGACGCAGCAACGCCGCGUGGGGGAUGAAUGCCUUCGGGUUGUAAACCCC